GGGGAGAAUAAGUUUUGGGGGGGGGGAGGUUUUUUGGAUCGAGGAGCUAGCUUCAAGCUUUUUUUUUCAAGGUUACUAGUUCGGUGUCAUUGGAGGUUUUUGAAGAUCAAGGGGAUUAGAGAGGAGCUUCAUGCUUCGGGUCGGGGAAGAAAAGACGAAGAAUUGGAUUUUUCUUCUUCAUAGAGUUUUGGGAAGACUGAGGCAAUCGUUGCUGAAGUCAGUGUUGUAAUGGUGAAUCGGGAUUUUUUAAAUGAAGUGGGUUUGAUUACUCUUGAUUGUUUUGUAAAAUCGAGUUACAUCUCUGAUUGAAGAAUUAAAAGGGUGUCUAUAGGAUUGAGUAUGCGGAGUGAAUGAAAUUUAUUGGGUUAAUCUAACAAGACAGUCAGUGGAUACAAGAUCAUAAGUACAAAGCGGUAUCGGAGAUUAGCAGAUUGGAUUGUUCGGGGUUCUUUGUAACGUCUAGAGAUCUACCGGUUGGGGCAAAAAAGACUUCGACAAGCAGUCAAAGGACACCCGUAUAGAUUUACGGUAUAUUCUUGCAGUAGUUUAUAUUCCAGCAGUCAAAAACUGAUAGACUGCUUGUCUAUUGGAGAAUCUCCAUACUACCUUCUACAGCUAGAUGCCCGGCGCAUUCUCAAGCAGAAAAGCACGUAAUACGACAAAAGUGGUGAACUCGACGUGAAAGCUUGAGGUGGAAGGUAUUGGAUUUCGGUUGAUUUUAUCUUUAUUUUAUGAAAAACGAAAAGAAAAAUUUUGAAGGAUUUUUGGGAGGAGUUUCUGGUGGGGAAUCUUCUAAAGGACAAGGUAUGCACAUGGAUCCGUCUAUUGCUAGUAUGUUUCAAGCCUUCUCAUUAUCAAUGCAGCAACAACAAAGCAAUGAUCGAAAGGAAGCUUUGGCAACCAAAGCAUUGCAAGCAGUGGUCAAUAAAAUUGAUCAAUUUGAUGGGAGGAAUAUUUCAAGGUAUUUAAGAUGUUAUGUUCGUGAAAUGGAAUUAAAUCGGAUUUACGAGAAGAAAAUGGUUGAACUAUUUGGACUUGCCAUGAUAUCGGAGAUAAGAAACCACAUUACAUCGAUUAUGGAUCGUUAUAGGAAUUCAUGGUAGGUUUUUUCACAUGCAUUGAAAGACGAAUAUUUCUUGGAAGAUGCUGAUCACGUUACUAAGAAGCUGUUUCUGGAAUGGAUUGAACGGCCCAAUAAGAAUUUGCAAGCAAUAGAGCUACUAAGGGAAUUUGAGCGGCAGUACUCUCAAUUAUCGAAGGUAGAAAAAUUGACAUUGGAGCCGAACAAAGUUGAUCUAUUUCUUCAAGCUGCCGAUGGAGAAUUGCAAGGGAAAUUAGAACUCCUUCUUGAAGACAAAGAAGAAGAUGAAGGAUUGACAAUGAAGUGGAAGAACGUUGAAGAUGCGGUGGGGUUGCUUACAAAAAGAGAAAGGAGGAAGGAUAGGAGCAAUAUUCCGAAAACAGUACAAGCACCCAAAGCUCCAGUACGUACAACACCACCAACAAUGCCUACAGUUCAAUCUUCGACAUCCUUAUCAAAGAAAGCAGAUAUGGGAAUGGAAGAAAUUAUACAAGGAAUGCGAGAUCUUCAAAUCAAAUUGGCAAGACUUGAAGAGAAUACUUCUACAAACAAUUUGAAGAAUGUUUCAAAACAAGGAUAUGUACAAAGAUGCAUUUGGUGUGAUGAUACUUCACACACUAGAAAAGAUUGCAAUGAAUUUAAUAAUAUGAUACGGCAGGGAAUUAUUUGUUGGAAAGAUGGGAAGAUAGCAUUAAAAAAUAGAGAGGAUCUUCUUCAAACCAAUUUUGGUUAGGGAGGAAUGAGAGCAUUGGUUCAAGAUUACCUAAAAGAGUAUGAAACAGCAGCACGAGAAAGUGCAAGUUAUGGUGCUAGAGUAGAUGAUGAAAUUGGUGGAAGUACGGAAACUAGUGAGUUUUGGGCUUCUGCCGUUUCUACAAUGCAUGAAGGGAAAUUACCUCGAGAAGCGUUAUUGAGGACUGCAGCUACAAUACGAGGUAGAACAAAUUGGGAGGAUCGUGCUGAGUCUCUUUCAGUUCAUGCAUAUAUUGCUAAGAGCCAACAUGAAGCUUUGAUAGAAGAAAAGAGACGAGGAAAUUUUGAUGAUACUAGAGAAGGAAAUUCUUCUAAGAGGCAAACUUGAGGAGACAAGGCUCGGGAGGCAACUUCACAAGAAUUGCAUGUAAAGGAUACCUCAGCAUCAUUGGGAGAAAAAACAAAGGAGACAAAAGAUAAAGGCAAAUCAAUUGCUUAUAAGCUACUUUCUGACAUUGAAGUGGCAACAAAUUUGAAAGGGGUGUUGGAAGAACGUAUAUUAAACGCUAAGGUAGAAUUCACAUUGAAAGAAGUUUUGGAAAUUGCAAAGAAGGGGUUUCAUGAUGUUAUCAUUGACAGCAUUAAGCGAAAGAGGCAAUUAAUGGAAAAAACUGGAAUGAGUCAUGCUAUUGAUGCAAGAAUAUAUAGAGAUGAAGAAGAGGUUGAUAUUGGUUACAAGCAACCAACAAAUGAAAAGAAUGGGUAUAAUCAACGAGUACGUUUUGAAGAUUCUAGUGAUAAAGAAAUGGAAACUUUGAGCCAUUAUACUCGAAAGUAUUGGGCAAGGGCAACUACUGAGGUAUUGGUGAAAGUAGGAGAUAUAGAAGAACCAAUAGUUACUUUAGUCGACCAUGGUUCUGAAAUAAAUCUCAUGUCUAAAGAUCUUUAUAAGAAGCAAAAAUGGCCAAUUGAUAUGGAACAUGGAUGGGCAAUUCGAGCAGCUAAUAACACACGGGACGAAUUAUAUGGAGCUUGUCCAGAUGUCAAAAUUCGGAUUGGGGAUGUUGCGACGGAGCAACAUUUCUUCGUUCAAGAUACAACGUCUUAUCCGUUGAUUUUAGGACAACCUUAUAUCACGGCAACAUGGAUGGAAACAAAAGUACUUGACGAUGGUUCUGCUUAUGCAAGGGUACGGAGCGAAGAUGGAAGGAAAGCUGUAUAAUUUCUAACAGUACCUCCCAACCAUGAACGGAAUCGAGAUAGGUUGAGGGAGAAACCAUUGCCGAAGAUUGUUGAAGGAUUUAAGGAUUUUGGGGAGGUACCACUGUAAAGCGAGAUUAUGGAGGUACAAAGGAGGAGGUACUCUCGCGUGAUGAAGGUGCCUUUGAUGGGAAUUUUAUUGAUAUAUUAGAGAAUGGAAAUAUUAUGUAUAAGAAAGUUGAUGAUUUUAAAAGAAAAGAAAGAAAAAGAUUAUAUGAUAUUGAAGGACAAUUACGCAAGUUAGGUACAUUGCAAGAUGAUGAGAGGAUUUUAGAUGUUUAUGAAGGAAAUAGACUGAAAGAUUCAUUGGAAUUGAUUACAUCUAUUGGGUUAGGGGAUAAUGAUAAGAUUGUUGAGAUUCAUUCAAGAGAGGUUUAUACCAUGCUUGAAUCUUUUCAAGCACUAGAAGUCACUGUAGAGAUGAGAUAUAAAAUGGCAAAUAAGAAAGUAAAGCCUGUUGCAGGACCAUUACCGGAAGAUUUUAAAGAACAAAUAGGAGAAGCAUCAAAAGAAGCAAGUUUAAGAGAUCCAAUGAGUAUUGGACAUCAGUUUACUAGAGAAACUUUUGAAAAAUUGAAGAUUGGUUCUGAUGGUUCUUUAUUACGGAAGGAAAUUACUUGCUUCAAAAAGAUGUUGGCUAAACAAGGUAGAUCAUUUGCCUUCAAAUCUCAUGAAAUUGGGUGUGUGGAUCGAAAUAUUGUAACACCUAUGGUUAUCUUCACUGUACCAUAUGUACCUUGGAAUCUAAGACCGAUUCCAGUACCGAGGGCACAUUUACCUAAAUUGGUUGAACUAUUAAAAGAAAAGAUAAAGAUGAAAAUAUUGGAACCUUCAUUUGUGUCGUAUUCUAGUCGAUGGUUUACGGUACCUAAGAAGAAUGGUUCACUACGGUUUAUUCAAGAUAUGCAACCGGUGAAUGCAAUAAUUGUCAGGAAUGCAGGAAUUGGGAUGAAUUUGUGGAUUGUGGAUGAAUUUACUAAGGCGUUUGCUGGAAGGGCGAUCUAUUCAAUUUUGUGACUUGUAUUCAGGUUAUGAUCAAUUUCAACUUGUCGAAGGAAGUAGAGAUAUGACGACGAUGAGGACACCACUUAGAUUGGUUAGAAUGUGCACUCUUCCUCUAGGCGCGACCAACUCAGUUGCUCAUAUGAUGAAUGGAAUGAAUAAGGUAUUGAGAGAUUUUAUUUCGGAAAAGACUAUGUCUUUUCUGGAUGAUGUUUCUAUAAAAGGGUGCAGAGAAGGAGACAAGGAUGAAACUUUAGAUACGAGGGGGUGUCGCAAAUAUGUUGUUGAUCAUAUACAAGAUUGUGAAAAGAUUUUAACUGGGCUUGGAGAAGUUCAUCUUACAUUAUCGGGUAUGAAGUCCGUAUUUGGAGUACGAGAGGUUGUAAUUCUUGGACAUUUAUGUGGAUCUUACGGAAGAAAAACAGAUCCGACUAAAGUUGAUGCAAUUGGAAGGAUGAAAGAGGAUUGUGAUUCUUUAACAGAGAUUCGCAGGUUUUUGGGUGCAUGUGUAUUUUAUCGAAUCUGGAUCCUUCAUUUUGCUCACAUAGCGGAUCCAUUAUGUAAACUGUUAUGCAAGGGUUACCGAUUUAAAUGGAAAGAAAGGCAUAUUCAGGCAAUGCAAAGAUUGAAGAAAUUAUUGAUGUCACCUUCAAUAUUGAGGAAGGUUGAUUAUAAGUGCAAUAGACUAGUGAUUCUUACUGUGGACGCUAGUCCAAUUGCCAUUGGAUGGGCUGUGGAUCAAGAUGAUUCAAAUGGAAAUAGAUUUGCAGUUCCAUUUGAGGCUAAAGUUUUAAGUAUUCAUCAUCGUGCAUAUUCGCAAGUCAAAAGAGAACUUUGGGGAGUCGUUUCGGCUAUGAAAGCUGAAAAGGAUUAUUUGAUUGAGAUAGUAGUAGUAAUUGAAACAGAUUGCUUGCCAUUGCUUGGAAUGAUUAUUAACUGUUGAACGCCAGAUAUUGCAAUGUUGAGAUGGAUUGCUUAUAUUAAGUCACUAAAUCGAGAAUUUAAGCAUAUUACUGGGAAGGACAAUUUAGUAGCAGAUAUGCUAUCUCGAGCAAGAUACAAGAGAGAGGACGAAAUGGUUGAAGACAUUGAUGACGUCGGAUUGAAAUUCUAUUCAAUAUCAAAUCUCAACAGAGAAGACAAGCUAUUUCUUGAAGAAUCUUAUGAAGGAGAAUUAUUGGAUAUUGGUCAUUACUUGAAUACCUUGACUAAGUAGGGGAAUCUGUCUACAGAAUAAUUCAAACAAAUAAGAAAAAAAGCAUAUGGAUUUUUACUUCGAGAUGGAUUCUUAUGGAAGAGACCGAAGAAAGCAAUUGGGAUGCCACAACGAGUGAUAGGCAAAAAAGAAGAAAAACUAAAAUUAUUAAAGGAGUUUCAUGAUAGUUUAUGGGCAGGGCAUAGAGGAAUCUGGGCUACUUUUGCUAAACUCAAGGAACGAUAUUGGUAGAAAAAUAUGUAUCGAGAUGUGCUCUCAUUUGUAGAGUCAUGUGAAAUCUGUCAAUCGUAUUCUAAUAUCCGACAUCGAGAUGGUCUUCAUCCUAUGUAUCCUCUGGCUAUUCAAUUUAAAUGGAUUGUUGAUUUGGUUAUUAUGCUGGUUGGAUUAUGGCAGAUGAGAUAUUUGGUUUUAGCUCGCGAAGAUUUAUCAAAUCAAGUAGAAGGAAGAGCAUUGAGGAUAAAAUCUACAGAGGAGAUUUGUAGGUUUUUGCUUGAAGAUGUCAUUUGCCGCUAUGGAUGCGUAGGAAAAAUCACUGCAGAUCGUGGAGAAUUAAAUGCACAAGAAGCUCGUAAGUUCUUUGAAAGAUGUCGAGUUAAACUAUCACUGACUAGUGUUUAUAAUGCAGAAGGGAAUACAAAAAGCGAACGCAGUCACCCACCAAUUGUGAAAGCAUUAGUUAAAGCUUGUAAUGGGAAAGUUUAAGAGUAGCGACGGCUUUUGUCAUGUACAUUAUGGGCUAAUCGAACAACACAUAGUUCGAUGACAGGAUAUAUGCCAGUAGAACUUAUGACAGGUCAAAAAUUAAUUAUGUCGAUUGAAAAAAAGGUACUUACUUGGAGUAUGCUACCAUGGGAAGAUGGAUUGACAAGAGAAGAACUUCUGGCUAUUAGGAUUCGACAAUUGGAGCAAAGAACGGAAGAUGUCCAGAUAGCAUUGGGAAGGUUAAAAAGAGCAAGGUUAUAAAACAAGGCACGAUUCGACAAGCAACAUCGAUUGAGAGCUAAAGCAAUCGAGGAAGGUGAUUGGGUACUUGUUUAUGACAAUAGUCUGGAUAAUCAACAUAGUAUUUUGCGGAAAUUUUCAAAAUGUUGGUUUGGACCAUAUGUAGUAACAACUGUUCAUGAUAAUGCGACUUACUCAUUACGAGAGUUAGAUGGUACAAAAUUGAAAAUACCAAUUGCAAGGAAGCGAGUAAAAAUAUUUAAACGAAGACACGCGGAGAUGAAUAUGGAAGACCUUAAUGAAGGUAUAGAGAUUUUGCAGCAAGAAGAUGAAAGUGAUUUGGAUAAUGAAGGUGAUGAUGACGAACAAGACAAAGACGUAGAGGAUAUAUUCUAAAUCAAACAGCAAUUGGGUAAAUUGGUGCAUACCGGAAGAUGCACAGUUUUAGAGGAGGUGGAUGUCGUGUUGUAACACGAGUAUACCAUGAAGAUAUAAAGGAAGGGGACUUUUAUUUAAGUUCAGUUACCUCGAAUAUUAGGAGCAACGACCAACUCCAGUGCAAAUACUGAGUGGCUAGGUUUAGUCACCCCGUUACAGUCAGCCUGGGCAUACUGAAAUGCUCCGUUCGAUUCCAAUAACGGGUGUCAACAGGAAGGGAAAGGACCAAUUCACGUGAUGGGUGAGCCUGGUUCGAAGAGCCAAUUGGAUCUAAUUUCGAGAAUCCAAUCCGGGUCCUCUUAUCCUAUAUGAGACCUGUAUUGGUCGGGCAACCCAAUGCAGUCUGAUUACGGGAAAUCCAGGUCUUACUACGGGCAUCUUACCCAAUAUGAGACCUGCAUUGAUCGGGCAACCCAAUGCAGUCUAAUUACGGGAAAAUCCAGGUCUUACUACGGGCCUCAGUCAGUCUAACGCGAAGGACCAAUUUUAUCCAAUUAUGGGAACAUCCAGGUUACUACGGGCAUUUUACCCAAUAUGAGACCUGCAUUGGUCGGGCAACCCAAUGCAGUCUAAUUACGGGAAAAUCCAGGUCUUACUAUGGGCCUCAGUCAGUCUGACGCGAAGGACCAAUUUUAUCCAAUUACGGGAACAUCCAGGUUACUAUGGGCAUCUUACCCAAUAUGAGACCUGAAUUGGUCGAGCGACUCAAUGUGGACCCGAGUACGGGGUUUCGAUUCUAUUUCAGGCUGUCCUAUUUUCUGUGCGAUUUCAAGGAAGGUUAUUUUCGGUAAAUGGAUCUCUUAAAGAUAAAAACGGAGGAAAAAGCUCUGACGGCGGGAGCCAAUUUUGGAUCUAAGCUCUAACGAUGGGAGCCAAUUCCGGAUCCAAGAUGGAAGAUUGAAGAAAUUCAGAGGAUAAGGUUAGGGGGAGAAUAAGUUUUGGGGGGGGGGAGGUUUUUUGGAUCGAGGAGUUAGCUUCAAGCUUUUUUUUUCAAGGUUACUAGUUCGGUGUCAUUGGAGGUUUUUGAAGAUCAAGGGGAUUAGAGAGGAGCUUCAUGCUUCGGGUCGGAGAAGAAAAGACGGAGAAUUGGAUUUUUCUUCUUCAUAGAGUUUUGGGAAGACUGAGGCAAUCGUUGCUGAAGUCAGUGUUGUAAUCGUGAAUCAGAAUUUUUUAAAUGAAGUGGGUUUGAUUACUCUUGAUUGUUUUGUAAAAUCGAGUUACAUCUCUGAUUGAAGAAUUAAAAGGGUGUCUAUAGGAUUGAGUAUGCGGAGUGAAUGAAAUUUAUUGGGUUAAUCUAACAAGACAGUCAGUGGAUAC
Molecule: long non-coding RNA, 7949 nt
Filed under: Physcomitrium patens
Lineage: Eukaryota; Viridiplantae; Streptophyta; Bryopsida; Funariales; Funariaceae
Description: long non-coding RNA (PPAT_LNC005879)
Source: RNAcentral